CCUACGGGCGGCAGCAGUGGGGAAUAUUGGGCAAUGGGCGCAAGCCUGACCCAGCAACGCCGCGUGAAGGAAGAAGGCUUUCGGGUUGUAAACUUCUUUUGUCAGGGACGAAGCAAGUGACGGUACCUGACGAAUAAGCCACGGCUAACUACGUGCCAGCAGCCGCGGUAAUACGUAGGUGGCAAGCGUUAUCCGGAUUUAUUGGGUGAAAAGGGCGUGUAGGCGGGUAUGCAAGUCAGAUGUGAAAACUAUGGGCUCAACCCAUAGCCUGCAUUUGAAACUGUAUUUCUGAGUGCUGGAGGGGCAAUCGGAAUUCCUUGUGUAGCGGUGAAAUGCGUAGAUAUACGGGGGAACACCAGUGGCGAAGGCGGUUUGCUGGACAGUAACUGACGCUGAGGCGCGAAAGCGUGGGAGCAAACAGGAUUAGAUACCCCAGUAGUC
This 441-nucleotide ribosomal RNA is filed under the name uncultured bacterium. Its description in RNAcentral is "partial 16S ribosomal RNA". It matches the Rfam family "Bacterial small subunit ribosomal RNA", at positions 338 to 795 of the family's 1533-position model. The record is from RNAcentral.